This 63-nucleotide transfer RNA is filed under the name Grevillea robusta. Its description in RNAcentral is "tRNA-His". It matches the Rfam family "tRNA", at positions 6 to 65 of the family's 71-position model. From Rfam's summary of the family: Transfer RNA (tRNA) molecules are approximately 80 nucleotides in length. Their secondary structure includes four short double-helical elements and three loops (D, anti-codon, and T loops). Further hydrogen bonds mediate the characteristic L-shaped molecular structure. tRNAs have two regions of fundamental functional importance: the anti-codon, which is responsible for specific mRNA codon recognition, and the 3' end, to which the tRNAs corresponding amino acid is attached (by aminoacyl-tRNA synthetases). tRNAs cope with the degeneracy of the genetic code in two manners: having more than one tRNA (with a specific anti-codon) for a particular amino acid; and 'wobble' base-pairing, i.e. permitting non-standard base-pairing at the 3rd anti-codon position. Lineage: Eukaryota; Viridiplantae; Streptophyta; Magnoliopsida; Proteales; Proteaceae. The record is from RNAcentral.
UGUAGCCAAGUGGAUUAAGGCAGUGGAUUGUGAAUCCACCAUUCGCGGGUUCAAUUCCCGUCG